RNAcentral lists this ribosomal RNA (400 nucleotides) under phytoplankton environmental sample. RNAcentral describes it as "partial small subunit ribosomal RNA". It matches the Rfam family "Eukaryotic small subunit ribosomal RNA", at positions 587 to 990 of the family's 1831-position model. The record is from RNAcentral.
AGCUCCAAUAGCGUAUAUUAAAGUUGUUGCAGUUAAAAAGCUCGUAGUUGGAUUUGUGGUUGGCUGGAUGGGUUCUACACUAUGUGUGGGUACUUUGUCUGGCCGUCCAUCCUUGGGUGGAUGUUGUGUGGCAUUAGGUUGUCGUGCAUCGGAUGCCCAUCUUUUACUGUGAAAAAAUUAGAGUGUUCAAAGCAGGCUGACGCCGUUGAAUAUAUUAGCAUGGAAUAAUGAUAUAGGACCUGGGUACUAUUUUGUUGGUUUGCGCAUCUAGGUAAUGAUUAAGAGGGACAGUUGGGGGUAUUCGUAUUCCAUUGUCAGAGGUGAAAUUCUUGGAUUUUUGGAAGACGAACUACUGCGAAAGCAUUUACCAAGGAUGUUUUCAUUAAUCAAGAACGAAAGU